This 1682-nucleotide long non-coding RNA is filed under the name Nicotiana benthamiana. RNAcentral's name for it is "long non-coding RNA (NBEN_LNC035426)". Lineage: Eukaryota; Viridiplantae; Streptophyta; Magnoliopsida; Solanales; Solanaceae. The record is from RNAcentral.
UGAAAACAUAUCUAGAGAACUAAGGCACUUACCAAGGUGAAUUGCUUCACCUGGAUAGCUAUAACGGGGGUAUGUCUCACUCAAGACAACAUAAGCAUGAGGAACAUUACACUUGUUAACAGAUGUUACUUGUGUCAACAAAAUUCAGAAAGUGUCAAUCAUCUUUUCCUCCAUUGCGCAGUUGCAAGUGAAAUCUGGAGUCUCUUCUUCUCUAUUUUUGGUCUGAAAUAGGUUAUCCUCGGACAAUAAAGAAAGCAUAUGAAAGUUGGUCUUUUUGGAGAGUUGACAAAGCCAUCAAUAGUAUCUGAAGAAUGAUUCCAACAGUAAUUUUUUGGUGUACCUGGACAGAAAGAAAUCAGAGGUGUUUUGAUGGCAUCCCAACUUCAACCUACUCCCUCAAGACUAUUUGCUUAGUUAAUCUAUUUAGCUGGAUUCCUCUUUCCCCUGUAAUAAGUGAAGACCACCUUGUGGAUUUCAUUAGCUCCUUGUUCUUAGUAUAAAUUUUUGUACUAGAGCUAGUUAUCUACCUUUUUGUAUCUUUUGCAUCUUCUUGAUGCCUAUUAAUGAAUCACCCUUACUUCAUCCAAAAAAAAUAUUCGUAUUUAUAUUAUCAAGUGUUAAUUCAAAUUAGUAAGAUGUUAGCCAUAUGUUUGAAAUGCAUUACCUUGGAUCUUGAUGUAAGAAACUUUAUUUGCCAAUUCAAAUAUUUGAGUAGUUUAAUUCGAAAUUUUAUAAUAUUUCUUAUGUUAAAAAGUAAAUAUUCUUUGUUUUUUUAAAACCUUUUUUACACUGAUUUUAUACUUUUUUUUACAAAAUUCAGAAUUAUCUAAGUCAAAAUAUUAUUAUGUAUUUUACAAUACUUUUUGGGGCCUCAAAAUUUUUGGGCCCUAAAGCGAAGGAUUUACUAGCCUCACCAUUGAGCCACCCACGAAGAUAAGUUGUAUAUUUCUAAGCAAAUAGUCUGUUUGAAGAUUGUAAAGAUGCAAUAAGUGGUAUGAUCUUAAACAUAAAAUAGGAAAAAUUUGAGGAAGUAAAGAAGUUAUUCUUGAAUAAACAAAAGAAAGCAUGGUUCAAUUAUAAAUAACAUGUAACACAUGACGAACAAUUCAAGAGAAAUAGCACAUAAAUAUUCAGAAAGCACCGAAGUAUAAAUCUUACUUAUGUAUACAUUAUCCGAAUUCAGCCAAAUAUGAAACUAUAGCAGCUCUAAUUUCAACAACACAAAACUUCAUUAUCCGAAUUUUAGGCAUAGCAAAGUUUCUUAAUUUUGGACGAGCUUCAUAAACACCAAUUAUGGUUUAUAUUUCAACUAGAGAAAUUGAAUCUCAGUCAUUAAUAUGCAAUUCUUGAAGAAAACAAAAGAACGUUCAAAAGGGACUAUGUGAAUCUGCAAAAGAGAAAAAAACAUUGCUAAUAAUUUAGAACACGUCCCAAUUAAGAUUUACGAUUUAGAGAAUCGGGAUGUCAAUAAAAUCAAGAAAAAUUAUAGAAAAUUUAGAGAUUCAAUCAAAAUAGAAUAUCCAAAAGUGAAAACAAGACACGAUAAGAGGCAAGCAAAACCUUCUAGUUUAGCCCCUUCUCAAUCGUAUUUACCAUUAGAAAAGUAAAAAUAAGAUGGAGAAUUCCAAGUAUAAUUUUCAAAAUCUUACCCAGAAAAAUAUUCGGCGAUUGCUUGAUCCUUG